This 745-nucleotide ribosomal RNA is filed under the name uncultured Staphylococcus sp. RNAcentral describes it as "bacterial SSU rRNA". It matches the Rfam family "Bacterial small subunit ribosomal RNA", at positions 62 to 789 of the family's 1533-position model. The record is from RNAcentral. Lineage: Bacteria; Bacillati; Bacillota; Bacilli; Caryophanales; Staphylococcaceae.
UCGAGCGAACGGACGAGAAGCUUGCUUCUCUGAUGUUAGCGGCGGACGGGUGAGUAACACGUGGAUAACCUACCUAUAAGACUGGGAUAACUUCGGGAAACCGGAGCUAAUACCGGAUAAUAUUUUGAACCGCAUGGUUCAAAAGUGAAAGACGGUCUUGCUGUCACUUAUAGAUGGAUCCGCGCUGCAUUAGCUAGUUGGUAAGGUAACGGCUUACCAAGGCAACGAUGCAUAGCCGACCUGAGAGGGUGAUCGGCCACACUGGAACUGAGACACGGUCCAGACUCCUACGGGAGGCAGCAGUAGGGAAUCUUCCGCAAUGGGCGAAAGCCUGACGGAGCAACGCCGCGUGAGUGAUGAAGGUCUUCGGAUCGUAAAACUCUGUUAUUAGGGAAGAACAUAUGUGUAAGUAACUGUGCACAUCUUGACGGUACCUAAUCAGAAAGCCACGGCUAACUACGUGCCAGCAGCCGCGGUAAUACGUAGGUGGCAAGCGUUAUCCGGAAUUAUUGGGCGUAAAGCGCGCGUAGGCGGUUUUUUAAGUCUGAUGUGAAAGCCCACGGCUCAACCGUGGAGGGUCAUUGGAAACUGGAAAACUUGAGUGCAGAAGAGGAAAGUGGAAUUCCAUGUGUAGCGGUGAAAUGCGCAGAGAUAUGGAGGAACACCAGUGGCGAAGGCGACUUUCUGGUCUGUAACUGACGCUGAUGUGCGAAAGCGUGGGGAUCAAACAGGAUUAGAUACCCUG